UGUCGUCAGCUCGUGUUGUGAAAUGUUGGGUUAAGUCCCGCAACGAGCGCAACCCUUAUCCUUUGUUGCCAGCGGUCCGGCCGGGAACUCAAAGGAGACUGCCAGUGAUAAACUGGAGGAAGGUGGGGAUGACGUCAAGUCAUCAUGGCCCUUACGACCAGGGCUACACACGUGCUACAAUGGCGCAUACAAAGAGAAGCGACCUCGCGAGAGCAAGCGGACCUCAUAAAGUGCGUCGUAGUCCGGAUUGGAGUCUGCAACUCGACUCCAUGAAGUCGGAAUCGCUAGUAAUCGUGGAUCAGAAUGCCACGGUGAAUACGUUCCCGGGCCUUGUACACACCGCCCGUCACACCAUGGGAGUGGGUUGCAAAAGAAGUAGGUAGCUUAACCUUCGGGAGGGCGCUUACCACUUUGUGAUUCAUGACUGGGGUGAAGUCGUAACAAGGUAACCGUAGGGGAACCUGCG
RNAcentral lists this ribosomal RNA (466 nucleotides) under Escherichia coli. Its description in RNAcentral is "bacterial SSU rRNA". It matches the Rfam family "Bacterial small subunit ribosomal RNA", at positions 1050 to 1516 of the family's 1533-position model. Lineage: Bacteria; Pseudomonadati; Pseudomonadota; Gammaproteobacteria; Enterobacterales; Enterobacteriaceae. RNAcentral also lists the same sequence under 3 other names. The record is from RNAcentral.